UAACACUCAAUAAAUUAAACCGUUAAAAACGCUCAAGGAAAUCAUUGUUCUACUAUUAUAUUGUGAACACAAGUAUACAAAAGAAAAGACAUCGGUUGAAUGUAUAGACAUGUGUGUGUAAAUAACUUUUGUCACUCGUAUGACGGAUUCAGUAUAGAAGAAUCUAUAAGGAUGUGAAAAAGUUCUAAUUUUUAUCAAAAUAAAUCCUAAAGCGUCACAAUUUACAUUCCACCCCGUUCGACAAUCAAGACAAGCCAUGAGUUGUCCACUUCAUGUAGUUGAUGUCAUCAAACUGAUGUUUUUCACAUCUGUGUUCAUCAAUGCUGUAGUUACAGCACAAACUGAGACGCAAGACGAGAAGAUUAUAUUGUAUCAACAGCCAACACAUACAAGAACAAAAACAGCCACGCCUACAACCUUAGUGACAUCUCUUAGACCAACCCGAAAAUCUAACAGCAUGAGGCAGAAGGAACUCAGGGACAGAAGAAAAAACAGAGAGAAACAAGGACUGAAUUCAAGAAAGUUAUAAAAAAGAGUAUUAAAUCAAACAACACAAUCAAUCAGUUAUAACAAGACAAUCAAUCAGUUAUAACAAGACAAUCAAUCAGUUAUAACAAGACAAUCAAUCAGUUAUAACAACACAAUCAAUUAGUUAUAACAAGACAAUCAAUCAGUUAUAACAACACGAUCAAUCAGUUAUAACAAGACAAUCAAUCAGUUAUAGCAAGACAAUCAAUCAGUUAUAACAAGACAAUCAAUCAGUUAUAACAACACAAUCAAUCAGUUAUAACAACACAAUCAAUCAGUUAUAGCAAGGCGAUCCCUUGUAGCUGGACAUACAAAUCAGCUAGAAUGAAAUCUUUGAGAAGGCACCAGGAUAUAAGAUCACGUGGUCAUUGGUUGUGGGGUACACAUCUGGUUAAAAGUUUUUGUGUUUUAGUCUACAAAAUAUGUACACAGGAGACUUUUACACGCGUAUAUAUGACGUAUUUAAAUAUUAAAACAAGGUUACAAAGGCAGUUUGUGUGCAAACACUAACUCAAAAUCGGCCCCCCAAGUGGUCCACCCAGGCAGGUAAAAUGGCAGGUUUCAAUAUUUUAGGAAAGAACAUCUGGAUGAAAUUCUAUCAAAGACAAAUGACAGGGAAGAAUGGAGAAAGAAGGUUGACAGAUCUUGUGUGGUGCCCCAGCGAUCCAGCAGACCAAAGGACAGGUGAAAAUGAAUGUGAAGUUAGUUGUGAACCUGGCAUAAAUGAUGUCUCAUAAUGAAUAUCUAAUUGAUCUAAUUUUUUUGUAAAGGGUCAAUUUCUUAUUCAAAUCCUCAAGAAAAAAAACAUAAAAAAAAAACAAAAAAAAAACAACAAAUAGUUCUGUGUAUUAUAUCCGAAGUGUAUGACAGCAGUCCACACGAUAAUAUGAAAAACUACUUAUUAAUUGUUGUUUUAAAUUAUGUCCAACUUAUAUCCAUACUAAAUAAUUUUUUUUCUCUUACAAAAAAUAAAACUUUUUUUGUGUGUAAAUGUAGUAGUAAUUAUGACAGAACUUACAUAACUAAGCAAUACAAAUGUCAUACAAUUAUUUUUUUUUUAAUCUAAAACCAUAUAUGGUAAAGAGUUGUCUCCUUUCCUAAAGAGCCUCCGGUAUUUGUUACUAUAUAAAGUAUAUAUCUUCCAUAACGAGUGCUCUCGGUUAGUUCCACUCUAUAAUGAUAUUUCAUGCAAUAGUUUACAAUUUUUCUAACCACAUUCCCAAUGUAAUAUUUCUUGUCUAACGAUAACUUUUAAAAAGAAAUACUUUUAAAAACGUUGGGAAUAUAUUUUUUGUUGUGGCAGCUUGUUAUGGCAACAUUUUUGUUGUGGCAGCUUGUUAUGGCAACAUUUUUGUUUUGGCAGCUUGUUAUGGCAACAUUUUUGUUUUGGCAGCUUGUUAUGGCAACAUUUUUGUUUUGGCAGCUUGUUAUGGCAACAUUUUUGUUUUGGCAGCUUGUUAUGGCAACAUUUUUGUUUUGGCAGCUUGUUAUGGCAACAUUUUUGUUUUGGCAGCUUGUUAUGGCAACAUUUUUGUUUUGGCAGCUUGUUAUGGCAACAUUUUUCUUUUGGCAGCUUGUUAUGGCAACAUUUUUGUUUUUUGAAACGAUCAUUGUUAACUCUUUCUCGCCGUAGUUAUUUUCUUUGUUCCGAUCGAAUUAUCCAUUUUUCCCUAUUCGUAUUUCACUAUCCUGAUAUUAAACUUCAAUAAACUUUUUUAUUUGUUAUC
Biomphalaria glabrata is the source of this 2255-nucleotide long non-coding RNA. RefSeq lists it as uncharacterized. The transcript has 3 exons. The record is from RefSeq and is a predicted model, not a curated record. NCBI's taxonomy places the organism in Eukaryota, Metazoa, Mollusca, Gastropoda, Planorbidae.